RNAcentral lists this ribosomal RNA (2925 nucleotides) under Escherichia coli. RNAcentral's name for it is "bacterial LSU rRNA". It matches the Rfam family "Bacterial large subunit ribosomal RNA". Lineage: Bacteria; Pseudomonadati; Pseudomonadota; Gammaproteobacteria; Enterobacterales; Enterobacteriaceae. The record is from RNAcentral.
GGGUUGUGAGGUUAAGCGACUAAGCGUACACGGUGGAUGCCCUGGCAGUCAGAGGCGAUGAAGGACGUGCUAAUCUGCGAUAAGCGUCGGUAAGGUGAUAUGAACCGUUAUAACCGGCGAUUUCCGAAUGGGGAAACCCAGUGUGAUUCGUCACACUAUCAUUAACUGAAUCCAUAGGUUAAUGAGGCGAACCGGGGGAACUGAAACAUCUAAGUACCCCGAGGAAAAGAAAUCAACCGAGAUUCCCCCAGUAGCGGCGAGCGAACGGGGAGCAGCCCAGAGCCUGAAUCAGUGUGUGUGUUAGUGGAAGCGUCUGGAAAGGCGCGCGAUACAGGGUGACAGCCCCGUACACAAAAAUGCACAUACUGUGAGCUCGAUGAGUAGGGCGGGACACGUGGUAUCCUGUCUGAAUAUGGGGGGACCAUCCUCCAAGGCUAAAUACUCCUGACUGACCGAUAGUGAACCAGUACCGUGAGGGAAAGGCGAAAAGAACCCCGGCGAGGGGAGUGAAAAAGAACCUGAAACCGUGUACGUACAAGCAGUGGGAGCCUCUUUAUGGGGUGACUGCGUACCUUUUGUAUAAUGGGUCAGCGACUUAUAUUCUGUAGCAAGGUUAACCGAAUAGGGGAGCCGAAGGGAAACCGAGUCUUAACUGGGCGUUAAGUUGCAGGGUAUAGACCCGAAACCCGGUGAUCUAGCCAUGGGCAGGUUGAAGGUUGGGUAACACUAACUGGAGGACCGAACCGACUAAUGUUGAAAAAUUAGCGGAUGACUUGUGGCUGGGGGUGAAAGGCCAAUCAAACCGGGAGAUAGCUGGUUCUCCCCGAAAGCUAUUUAGGUAGCGCCUCGUGAAUUCAUCUCCGGGGGUAGAGCACUGUUUCGGCAAGGGGGUCAUCCCGACUUACCAACCCGAUGCAAACUGCGAAUACCGGAGAAUGUUAUCACGGGAGACACACGGCGGGUGCUAACGUCCGUCGUGAAGAGGGAAACAACCCAGACCGCCAGCUAAGGUCCCAAAGUCAUGGUUAAGUGGGAAACGAUGUGGGAAGGCCCAGACAGCCAGGAUGUUGGCUUAGAAGCAGCCAUCAUUUAAAGAAAGCGUAAUAGCUCACUGGUCGAGUCGGCCUGCGCGGAAGAUGUAACGGGGCUAAACCAUGCACCGAAGCUGCGGCAGCGACACUAUGUGUUGUUGGGUAGGGGAGCGUUCUGUAAGCCUGUGAAGGUGUGCUGUGAGGUAUGCUGGAGGUAUCAGAAGUGCGAAUGCUGACAUAAGUAACGAUAAAGCGGGUGAAAAGCCCGCUCGCCGGAAGACCAAGGGUUCCUGUCCAACGUUAAUCGGGGCAGGGUGAGUCGACCCCUAAGGCGAGGCCGAAAGGCGUAGUCGAUGGGAAACAGGUUAAUAUUCCUGUACUUGGUGUUACUGCGAAGGGGGGACGGAGAAGGCUAUGUUGGCCGGGCGACGGUUGUCCCGGUUUAAGCGUGUAGGCUGGUUUUCCAGGCAAAUCCGGAAAAUCAAGGCUGAGGCGUGAUGACGAGGCACUACGGUGCUGAAGCAACAAAUGCCCUGCUUCCAGGAAAAGCCUCUAAGCAUCAGGUAACAUCAAAUCGUACCCCAAACCGACACAGGUGGUCAGGUAGAGAAUACCAAGGCGCUUGAGAGAACUCGGGUGAAGGAACUAGGCAAAAUGGUGCCGUAACUUCGGGAGAAGGCACGCUGAUACGUAGGUGAAGUCCCUUGCGGAUGGAGCUGAAAUCAGUCGAAGAUACCAGCUGGCUGCAACUGUUUAUUAAAAACACAGCACUGUGCAAACACGAAAGUGGACGUAUACGGUGUGACGCCUGCCCGGUGCCGGAAGGUUAAUUGAUGGGGUUAGCGGUAACGCGAAGCUCUUGAUCGAAGCCCCGGUAAACGGCGGCCGUAACUAUAACGGUCCUAAGGUAGCGAAAUUCCUUGUCGGGUAAGUUCCGACCUGCACGAAUGGCGUAAUGAUGGCCAGGCUGUCUCCACCCGAGACUCAGUGAAAUUGAACUCGCUGUGAAGAUGCAGUGUACCCGCGGCAAGACGGAAAGACCCCGUGAACCUUUACUAUAGCUUGACACUGAACAUUGAGCCUUGAUGUGUAGGAUAGGUGGGAGGCUUUGAAGUGUGGACGCCAGUCUGCAUGGAGCCGACCUUGAAAUACCACCCUUUAAUGUUUGAUGUUCUAACGUUGGCCCCUGAUCGGGGUUGCGGACAGUGUCUGGUGGGUAGUUUGACUGGGGCGGUCUCCUCCUAAAGAGUAACGGAGGAGCACGAAGGUUGGCUAAUCCUGGUCGGACAUCAGGAGGUUAGUGCAAUGGCAUAAGCCAGCUUGACUGCGAGCGUGACGGCGCGAGCAGGUGCGAAAGCAGGUCAUAGUGAUCCGGUGGUUCUGAAUGGAAGGGCCAUCGCUCAACGGAUAAAAGGUACUCCGGGGAUAACAGGCUGAUACCGCCCAAGAGUUCAUAUCGACGGCGGUGUUUGGCACCUCGAUGUCGGCUCAUCACAUCCUGGGGCUGAAGUAGGUCCCAAGGGUAUGGCUGUUCGCCAUUUAAAGUGGUACGCGAGCUGGGUUUAGAACGUCGUGAGACAGUUCGGUCCCUAUCUGCCGUGGGCGCUGGAGAACUGAGGGGGGCUGCUCCUAGUACGAGAGGACCGGAGUGGACGCAUCACUGGUGUUCGGGUUGUCAUGCCAAUGGCACUGCCCGGUAGCUAAAUGCGGAAGAGAUAAGUGCUGAAAGCAUCUAAGCACGAAACUUGCCCCGAGAUGAGUUCUCCCUGACUCCUUGAGAGUCCUGAAGGAACGUUGAAGACGACGACGUUGAUAGGCCGGGUGUGUAAGCGCAGCGAUGCGUUGAGCUAACCGGUACUAAUGAACCGUGAGGCUUAACCUUACAACGCCGAAG